Molecule: ribosomal RNA, 327 nt
Filed under: uncultured bacterium
Lineage: Bacteria
Description: bacterial SSU rRNA
Rfam family: Bacterial small subunit ribosomal RNA
Source: RNAcentral
GUGAAAGCAGGGGACCGCAAGGCCUUGCGUCGAUGGAGCGGCCGAUGUCGGAUUAGCUAGUUGGUGAGGUAAAGGCUUACCAAGGCGACGAUCCGUAGCUGGUCUGAGAGGACGACCAGCCCACACUGGGACUGAGACACGGCCCAGACUCCUACGGGAGGCAGCAGUGGGGAAUCUUGGACAAUGGGCGCAAGCCUGAUCCAGCAAUGCCGCGUGUGGGAAGAAGGCCUUCGGGUUGUAAACCACUUUUGGCAGGAAAGAAAUCGUUCGUGCUAAUACCAUGGAUGGAUGACGGUACCUGCAGAAUAAGCACCGGCUAACUACGUG